UACGGAGGGUGCAAGCGUUAUCCGGAUUCACUGGGUUUAAAGGGUGCGUAGGAGGGCAGGUAAGUCAGUGGUGAAAUCCUAGAGCUUAACUCUAGAACUGCCGUUGAUACUAUCUGUCUUGAAUAUUGUGGAGGUGAGCGGAAUAUGUCAUGUAGCGGUGAAAUGCUUAGAUAUGACAUAGAACACCAAUUGCGAAGGCAGCUGGCUACACGAAUAUUGACACUGAGGCACGAAAGCGUGGGGAUCAAACAGG
Molecule: ribosomal RNA, 253 nt
Filed under: uncultured bacterium
Lineage: Bacteria
Description: partial 16S ribosomal RNA
Rfam family: Bacterial small subunit ribosomal RNA
Source: RNAcentral